GACGAACGCUGGCGGCGUGCUUAACACAUGCCAGUCGAACGGAAAGGCCCUGCUUUUGUGGGGUGCUCGAGUGGCGAACGGGUGAGUAACACGUGAGUAACCUGCCCUUGACUUUGGGAUAACUUCAGGAAACUGGGGCUAAUACCGGAUAGGAGCUCCUGCUGCAUGGUGGGGGUUGGAAAGUUUCGGCGGUUGGGGAUGGUCUCGCGGCUUAACAGCUUGUUGGUGGGGUAGUGGCUUACCAAGGCUUUGAAGGGUAGCCGGCCUGGGAGGGUGACCGGCCACCAUGCGCCUACGGGAGGCCCCAGAAGCCUACGGGAGGCAAUGGUGGGGAACAUUGCCGAAUGGGCGGGAGCCUGAUGCAACAACCCCGCGUGCGGGAUGCCCGCCUUCGGGUUAAAAACCGCUUUCGCCUUUAACGAAGACAGAGUGACGGUAAUUGGUAAAGAAGCACCGGCUAACUACGUG
RNAcentral lists this ribosomal RNA (468 nucleotides) under uncultured bacterium. RNAcentral's name for it is "partial 16S ribosomal RNA". It matches the Rfam family "Bacterial small subunit ribosomal RNA", at positions 28 to 507 of the family's 1533-position model. The record is from RNAcentral.